GUUAAGCGACUAAGCGUACACGGUGGAUGCCCUGGCAGUCAGAGGCGAUGAAGGGCGUGCUAAUCUGCGAUAAGCGCCGGUAAGGUGAUAUGAACCGUUAUAACCGGCGAUACCCGAAUGGGGAAACCCAGUGUGACUCGUCACACUAUCAUUAACUGAAUCCAUAGGUUAAUGAGGCGAACCGGGGGAACUGAAACAUCUAAGUACCCCGAGGAAAAGAAAUCAACCGAGAUUCCCCCAGUAGCGGCGAGCGAACGGGGAGGAGCCCAGAGCCUGAAUCAGCAUGUGUGUUAGUGGAAGCGUCUGGAAAGGCGCGCGAUACAGGGUGACAGCCCCGUACACAAAAGCGCAUGUGCUGUGAGCUCGAUGAGUAGGGCGGGACACGUGGUAUCCUGUCUGAAUAUGGGGGGACCAUCCUCCAAGGCUAAAUACUCCUGACUGACCGAUAGUGAACCAGUACCGUGAGGGAAAGGCGAAAAGAACCCCGGCGAGGGGAGUGAAAAAGAACCUGAAACCGUGUACGUACAAGCAGUGGGAGCACAGGUUUACCUGUGUGACUGCGUACCUUUUGUAUAAUGGGUCAGCGACUUAUAUUCUGUAGCAAGGUUAACCGCAUAGGGGAGCCGGAGGGAAACCGAGUCUUAAU
Molecule: ribosomal RNA, 646 nt
Filed under: Salmonella enterica
Lineage: Bacteria; Pseudomonadati; Pseudomonadota; Gammaproteobacteria; Enterobacterales; Enterobacteriaceae
Also listed under: 1 other name
Description: partial 23S ribosomal RNA
Rfam family: Bacterial large subunit ribosomal RNA
Source: RNAcentral